This is a long non-coding RNA of Phyllostomus discolor (pale spear-nosed bat), 504 nucleotides long. RefSeq lists it as uncharacterized. NCBI's taxonomy places the organism in Eukaryota, Metazoa, Chordata, Mammalia, Chiroptera, Phyllostomidae. The transcript is spliced from 3 exons. The record is from RefSeq and is a predicted model, not a curated record.
AUGCAGUGAGUACAGUGCAAAUAAAAGUGUGGCACAAAUGCUUCAAAGAUGGUUGAGAAUCUCUUGAAAGUGAUCCACAUGCUGGAAGGCCUGCAACAAGCAGAACACCUGAGAAUGCUGGACGUGUAACGGGCUGCAAUCAGCAAAGAUCAGCUACUGACAGUGCAAAAACUGGAAGCUGAUCUGGGAACUCCAGAAGGUACUGGGCCUGAGAUUUUGACAUGGGAUCUUGGCAUGAAAUGUGUUGUGGCUAAAUUUAUUCUGCGGCUUCUGCUAACAGAGCAGAAAGAACAUUGUGCUGCAGUUGCUAAUGACUAGAUUGAAACCACUACCAAUGAAUCAGAUUUCCAUAAGAGGGUCAUAACCAGAGAUGAAUUCUGGGUCUAUGGCUAUGCAUAUGAUCCAGAUAUGAAGGCCCAGUUGUCCCAGUGAAAGUCUCCUGGUUCUCCAUACCCAAAGAAAGCACAGCAAAGUCGCAGCAAGAUCAAGACCACGUAGACUGGG